Molecule: ribosomal RNA, 400 nt
Filed under: uncultured bacterium
Lineage: Bacteria
Description: bacterial SSU rRNA
Rfam family: Bacterial small subunit ribosomal RNA
Source: RNAcentral
GGGGAAUAUUGCACAAUGGGCGAAAGCCUGAUGCAGCAACGCCGCGUGAGGGAAGACGGUUUUCGGAUUGUAAACCUCUGUCCUCAGGGACGAUAAUGACGGUACCUGAGGAGGAAGCUCCGGCUAACUACGUGCCAGCAGCCGCGGUAAUACGUAGGGAGCAAGCGUUGUCCGGAUUUACUGGGUGUAAAGGGUGCGUAGGCGGCUCUGCAAGUCAGGCGUGAAAACUAUGGGCUUAACCCAUAGACUGCGUUUGAAACUGUGGGGCUUGAGUGAAGUAGAGGUAGGCGGAAUUCCCGGUGUAGCGGUGAAAUGCGUAGAGAUCGGGAGGAACACCAGUGGCGAAGGCGGCCUACUGGGCUUUAACUGACGCUGAAGCACGAAAGCAUGGGUAGCAAAC